This 375-nucleotide ribosomal RNA is filed under the name uncultured soil bacterium. RNAcentral describes it as "bacterial SSU rRNA". It matches the Rfam family "Bacterial small subunit ribosomal RNA", at positions 26 to 399 of the family's 1533-position model. The record is from RNAcentral.
AGAUUGAACGCUGGCGGCAUGCCUUACACAUGCAAGUCGAACGGCCGCACGGGAGCAAUCCUGGUGGCGAGUGGCGAACGGGUGAGUAAUACAUCGGAACGUGCCCAAUCGUGGGGGAUAACGCAGCGAAAGCUGUGCUAAUACCGCAUAAGAUCUACGGAUGAAAGCAGGGGAUCGCAAGACCUUGCGCGAAUGGAGCGGCCGAUGGCAGAUUAGGUAGUUGGUGAGGUAAAGGCUCACCAAGCCUUCGAUCUGUAGCUGGUCUGAGAGGACGACCAGCCACACUGGGACUGAGACACGGCCCAGACCUCCGUACGGGAGCAGGCAGGUGGGUAAUUUUGGAACAAGUGGGACGAAGCUGACUCAGCAUCGCCG